GUGCUCACUUUGGCCGCCCAUAUACUAAAAUUGGAACGAUACAGAGAAGAUUAGCAUGGCCCCUGCACAAGGAUGACACACAAAUUCAUGAAGCGUCCCAUAUUAAA
Dipodomys ordii (Ord's kangaroo rat) is the source of this 107-nucleotide small nuclear RNA. NCBI's taxonomy places the organism in Eukaryota, Metazoa, Chordata, Mammalia, Rodentia, Heteromyidae. The record is from Ensembl.